RNAcentral lists this ribosomal RNA (481 nucleotides) under Metschnikowia pulcherrima. RNAcentral describes it as "eukaryotic LSU rRNA". It matches the Rfam family "Eukaryotic large subunit ribosomal RNA", at positions 87 to 655 of the family's 3401-position model. The record is from RNAcentral. Lineage: Eukaryota; Fungi; Ascomycota; Pichiomycetes; Serinales; Metschnikowiaceae.
CGGCGAGUGAAGCGGCAAAAGCUCAAAUUUGAAAUCCCCCGGGAAUUGUAAUUUGAAGAGAUUUGGGUCCGGCCGGCAGGGGUUAAGUCCACUGGAAAGUGGCGCCACAGAGGGUGACAGCCCCGUGAACCCCUUUAACGCCCUCAUCCCAGAUCUCCAAGAGUCGAGUUGUUUGGGAAUGCAGCUCUAAGUGGGUGGUAAAUUCCAUCUAAAGCUAAAUACCGGCGAGAGACCGAUAGCGAACAAGUACAGUGAUGGAAAGAUGAAAAGCACUUUGAAAAGAGAGUGAAAAAGUACGUGAAAUUGUUGAAAGGGAAGGGCUUGCAAGCAGACACUUAACUGGGCCAGCAUCGGGGCGGCGGGGAGCAAAACCACCGGGGAAUGUACCUUUCGAGGAUUAUAACCCCGGUCCUUACUCCCAUACCACCCCGAGGCCUGCAAUCUAAGGAUGCUGGCGUAAUGGUUGCAAGUCGCCCGUCUG